GAGAAAGAAAUCCGCCCCGAGAUGCACCUGCAGCCCCGCGCCCAUCCGUGCAUGGCUGCGGCUGUGCGUGCCCGCGAACGGGGACCAGCGGCCGCCGAGUCCGUCCACAUCGCCAGGCCAGGAGUCAGAACAAGGACGGGCCUGUGAUGUGUCUGUCUAUGACGACAAGGACAAUGUCCUGAGGAACGGAGAGGAAGAAAGUGAAGGGAACCAGGUCCCCGGAUUCCAUGUGGAACAGUAGCCCAGGAUGCGCACUAUGGACUGUUACAAGAGAGAGACAUGAUCUUCCUUAAGGCAUUGAUUUGUCAUGGGUCUCUUUGUUAUAGCCACUUAACGUUACCUUAAUACACCCACUUCAUGGAUAAGUAAAACUGAGGCUUGGAGAAGCCCACAUUGACACAGCAAAGAAGGCUGGGGCUCUUGUGCUGGUUAAAUGGACCUUGAUGUCUUCCAAAUGUUUUCCUGCUGGAUUCUGAGCCACUCUCCUGGCUGCAACUCUGAGGCUGGGCAGACUUUCCGCUGGAAAGAGAACUCAAAUACUGGUGAGAGGUGGAUUUGAAGCCAGGAGCCCCAGGUUUUGGCUCUGCAGGUUUGCACCCAGCUCUGUGGUGUAUGCCCUCACAGGUCACCCA
This 632-nucleotide non-coding RNA is filed under the name Pan troglodytes (chimpanzee). Lineage: Eukaryota; Metazoa; Chordata; Mammalia; Primates; Hominidae. The record is from RNAcentral.